AUUGAACGCUGGCGGCAGGCCUAACACAUGCAAGUCGAACGGUAAGAGGAAGCACCUUGCCGUCUGGCUGUCGAGUGGCGGGCGGGUGUGUCAUGUCUGUGAAACUGCCUUAUGGAGGGGGUAAAUUACUGAAAACGGUGCCUAAAACCGCUUAUUUUUGCAAUAUCAUAGAUCGGGACUUUCUGGCCUCUUUCCCUUUGAUUUUCCCUGAUGCCAUUAGUUAUUAGGUAGUGUAAAGGCUGACCUAGGCGACGAUCCCUAGCUGGUAUGAGAGGAUGACCCGCCACACGUGAACUGAGACACGGUCCAGACUCCUACGGGAGGCAGCAGUUGGGAAUAUUGCACAAUGGGCGGAAGCCUGAUGCAGGCAUGCAGCGUGUAUGAAGAAGGCCUUCGGGUUGUAAAACACUUUCAGCCGGGAAGAACAGAGUAAAGAGAAUCAAUUUACUCAUUGACGUUACCUGCAGAAGAAGCACCGGCUAACUCCGUG
Molecule: ribosomal RNA, 490 nt
Filed under: uncultured bacterium
Lineage: Bacteria
Description: partial 16S ribosomal RNA
Rfam family: Bacterial small subunit ribosomal RNA
Source: RNAcentral